AGAGUUUGAUCCUGGCUCAGGAUGAACGCUAGCGGCAGGCCUAAUACAUGCAAGUCGAACGCUCAGUAGCAAUACUGGGAGUGGCGCACGGGUGCGUAACGCGUACACAAUCUACCUCUAAGCGGGGGACACCUCCUGGAAACGGGGAUUAAUACCGCAUAAUAUGCCGAAGUCGCAUGACUUUGGUAUUAAAGCAGCAAUGCACUUAGAGAUGAGUGUGCGUCCCAUUAGGUAGUUGGUGAGGUAACGGCUCACCAAGCCUAUGAUGGGUAGCCGGUCUGAGAGAAUGGUCGGCCACACGGGCACUGAGACACGGGCCCGACUCCUACGGGAGGCAGCAGUAAGGAAUAUUGGUCAAUGGUGGAAACACUGAACCAGCCAUGCCGCGUGGAGGAAUAAGGUCCUACGGAUUGUAAACUCCUUUUGACGAGGAAGAAAAUGUUAGAUUUAUCUAAUUUUGACGGUACUCGUAGAAUAAGCACCGGCUAACUCCGUG
This 496-nucleotide ribosomal RNA is filed under the name uncultured bacterium. RNAcentral's name for it is "bacterial SSU rRNA". It matches the Rfam family "Bacterial small subunit ribosomal RNA", at positions 8 to 507 of the family's 1533-position model. The record is from RNAcentral.